Molecule: unclassified non-coding RNA, 348 nt
Filed under: soil metagenome
Description: partial contains 5.8S ribosomal RNA, internal transcribed spacer 2, and large subunit ribosomal RNA
Rfam family: 5.8S ribosomal RNA (bases 1-120)
Source: RNAcentral
GAUGAAGAACGUAGCGAAAUGCGAUAAGUAAUGUGAAUUGCAGAAUUCAGUGAAUCAUCGAAUCUUUGAACGCACAUUGCGCCCGCCAGUAUUCUGGCGGGCAUGCCUGUCUGAGCGUCAUUUCAACCCUCAUGCCCCUAGGGCGUGGUGUUGGGGAUCGGCCAAAGCCCGCGAGGGACGGCCGGCCCCUAAAUCUAGUGGCGGACCCGUCGUGGCCUCCUCUGCGAAGUAGUGAUAUUCCGCAUCGGAGAGCGAUGAGCCCCUGCCGUUAAACCCCCAACUUUCCAAGGUUGACCUCAGAUCAGGUAGGAAUACCCGCUGAACUUAAGCAUAUCGAUAAGCGGAGGA